CAAACGGCCUUUCUCAAGGCCACACCAAUGUGCGAACCGGUGUCGU
This is a non-coding RNA of Ixodes scapularis (black-legged tick), 46 nucleotides long. Lineage: Eukaryota; Metazoa; Arthropoda; Arachnida; Ixodida; Ixodidae. The record is from Rfam.